GCCGCUUUAGCUCAGCUGGUAGAGCAACGCAUUCGUAAUGCGUAGGUCGCGUGUUCAAGUCACGCAAGCGGCACCA
This 76-nucleotide transfer RNA is filed under the name Maricaulis sp. RNAcentral describes it as "tRNA-Thr". It matches the Rfam family "tRNA". From Rfam's summary of the family: Transfer RNA (tRNA) molecules are approximately 80 nucleotides in length. The record is from RNAcentral. Lineage: Bacteria; Pseudomonadati; Pseudomonadota; Alphaproteobacteria; Maricaulales; Maricaulaceae. RNAcentral also lists the same sequence under 3 other names.